Molecule: ribosomal RNA, 462 nt
Filed under: uncultured bacterium
Lineage: Bacteria
Description: partial 16S ribosomal RNA
Rfam family: Bacterial small subunit ribosomal RNA
Source: RNAcentral
GACGAACGCUGGCGGCGUGCUUAACACAUGCAAGUCGAACGGAAAGGCCUUUUCGGAGGUACUCGAGUGGCGAACGGGUGAGUAACACGUGGGUGAUCUGCCCUGCACUCUGGGAUAAGCCUGGGAAACUGGGUCUAAUACCGGAUAGGACCGCACUUUAGUGUGUGUGGUGGAAAGUUUUUUCGGUGUAGGAUGAGCCCGCGGCCUAUCAGCUUGUUGGUGGGGUAAUGGCCUACCAAGGCGGCGACGGGUAGCCGGACUGAGAGGUUGGUCGGCCACAUUGGGCCUGGGAUCCGGCCCGGACUCCUCCGGGGGGCAGCAGUGGGGAAUAUUGCCCAAUGGGCGCAAGCCGGAUGCAGCGACGCCGCGUGGGGGAUGACGGCCUCGGGUUGUAAACUCCUUUCGCCAGGGACGAAGCGUUUUGUGACGGUACCUGGAGAAGAAGCACCGGCUAACUACGUG